UACGUAGGGUGCGAGCGUUAAUCGGAAUUACUGGGCGUAAAGCGUGCGCAGGCGGUUUUGUAAGCCAGGUGUGAAAUCCCCGGGCUCAACCUGGGAAUGGCAUUUGGGACUGCAAGGCUGGAGUGUGGCAGAGGAGACUGGAAUUCCUGGUGUAGCAGUGAAAUGCGUAGAUAUGUGGAGGAACACCGAUGGCGAAGGCAGCCCCCUGGGUCAAGAUUGACGCUCAUGCACGAAAGCGUGGGGAGCAAACAGG
This 253-nucleotide ribosomal RNA is filed under the name uncultured bacterium. RNAcentral's name for it is "partial 16S ribosomal RNA". It matches the Rfam family "Bacterial small subunit ribosomal RNA", at positions 524 to 776 of the family's 1533-position model. The record is from RNAcentral.